Long non-coding RNA from Cucumis melo (muskmelon), 252 nucleotides. RefSeq lists it as uncharacterized. The transcript is spliced from 3 exons. Lineage: Eukaryota; Viridiplantae; Streptophyta; Magnoliopsida; Cucurbitales; Cucurbitaceae. The record is from RefSeq and is a predicted model, not a curated record.
AGGUAUUCUAAUUGAGAACAUGUGACGUGAAGGAUUUGUGUUAUCCAUUUCACCACCUAAAGUAAUGUUUAAAACUGAGAAUUCAACGAAGCUUGAGCCAAUUGAAGAAGUCACCAUAAAGAGUCAGGAAUACAAGGGGGAGGAUGAAAGCAAGCUAGAUAAGACGAAGGCUGCUAUAACUAGACUGCAGUCACUAAUUAUUGUCACAUCCCAAGCUGUCAAUACAACUUCUACUGCCAUAGUUGGACUAAG